GACGAACGCUGGCGGCGUGCCUAAUACAUGCAAGUUGAGCGCUGAAGGUUGGUCCUUGUACCAACUGGAUGAGCAGCGAACGGGUGAGUAACGCGUGGGGAAUCUGCCUUUGAGCGGGGGACAACAUUUGGAGACGAAUGCUAAUACCGCAUAAAAACUUUAAACACAAGUUUUAAGUUUGAAAGAUGCAAUUGCAUCACUCAAAGAUGAUCCCGCGUUGUAUUAGCUAGUUGGUGAGGUAAAGGCUCACCAAGGCGAUGAUACAUAGCCGACCUGAGAGGGUGAUCGGCCACAUUGGGACUGAGACACGGCCCAAACUCCUACGGGAGGCAGCAGUAGGGAAUCUUCGGCAAUGGAUGAAAGUCUGACCGAGCAACGCCGCGUGAGUGAAGAAGGUUUUCGGAUCGUAAAACUCUGUUGGUAGAGAAGAACGUUGGUGAGAGUGGAAAGCUCAUCAAGUGACGGUAACUACCCAGAAAGGGACGGCUAACUACGUG
Molecule: ribosomal RNA, 497 nt
Filed under: uncultured bacterium
Lineage: Bacteria
Description: partial 16S ribosomal RNA
Rfam family: Bacterial small subunit ribosomal RNA
Source: RNAcentral